AAGAGACAGCAGUAGCCGCGGGAAUACGGAGGGAGCUAGCGUUGUUCGGAAUUACUGGGCGUAAAGCGCGCGUAGGCGGUUACUCAAGUCAGAGGUGAAAGCCCGGGGCUCAACCCCGGAACUGCCUUUGAAACUAGGUGACUAGAAUCUUGGAGAGGUCAGUGGAAUUCCGAGUGUAGAGGUGAAAUUCGUAGAUAUUCGGAAGAACACCAGUGGCGAAGGCGACUGACUGGACAAGUAUUGACGCUGAGGUGCGAAAGCGUGGGGAGCAAACAGGAUUAGAUACCCCGGUAGUCCCUGUCUCUUAUAC
RNAcentral lists this ribosomal RNA (310 nucleotides) under uncultured bacterium. RNAcentral describes it as "partial 16S ribosomal RNA". It matches the Rfam family "Bacterial small subunit ribosomal RNA", at positions 503 to 807 of the family's 1533-position model. The record is from RNAcentral.